CGAGCGGACUUGCUGGAGCUUGCUCCAGCAGGUUAGCGGCGGACGGGUGAGUAACACGUGGGCAACCUGCCUGUAAGACUGGGAUAACUCCGGGAAACCGGAGCUAAUACCGGAUAGUAUCUUGAACCGCAUGGUUCAAGUUGGAAAGACGGUUUCGGCUGUCACUUACAGAUGGGCCCGCGGCGCAUUAGCUAGUUGGUGAGGUAAUGGCUCACCAAGGCAACGAUGCGUAGCCGACCUGAGAGGGUGAUCGGCCACACUGGGACUGAGACACGGCCCAGACUCCUACGGGAGGCAGCAGUAGGGAAUCUUCCGCAAUGGACGAAAGUCUGACGGAGCAACGCCGCGUGAGUGAUGAAGGUUUUCGGAUCGUAAAACUCUGUUGUUAGGGAAGAACAAGUGCGAGAGUAACUGCUCGCACCUUGACGGUACCUAACCAGAAAGCCACGGCUAACUACGUGCCAGCAGCCGCGGUAAUACGUAGGUGGCAAGCGUUGUCCGGAAUUAUUGGGCGUAAAGCGCGCGCAGGCGGUUUCUUAAGUCUGAUGUGAAAGCCCCCGGCUCAACCGGGGAGGGUCAUUGGAAACUGGGAAACUUGAGUGCAGAAGAGGAGAGUGGAAUUCCACGUGUAGCGGUGAAAUGCGUAGAGAUGUGGAGGAACACCAGUGGCGAAGGCGACUCUCUGGUCUGUAACUGACGCUGAGGCGCGAAAGCGUGGGGAGCGAACAGGAUUAGAUACCCUGGUAGUCCACGCCGUAAACGAUGAGUGCUAAGUGUUAGAGGGUUUCCGCCCUUUAGUGCUGCAGCUAACGCAUUAAGCACUCCGCCUGGGGAGUACGGUCGCAAGACUGAAACUCAAAGGAAUUGACGGGGGCCCGCACAAGCGGUGGAGCAUGUGGUUUAAUUCGAAGCAACGCGAAGAACCUUACCAGGUCUUGACAUCCUUUGCCACUUCUAGAGAUAGAAGGUUCCCCUUCGGGGACAA
Molecule: ribosomal RNA, 985 nt
Filed under: Metabacillus idriensis
Lineage: Bacteria; Bacillati; Bacillota; Bacilli; Caryophanales; Bacillaceae
Description: bacterial SSU rRNA
Rfam family: Bacterial small subunit ribosomal RNA
Source: RNAcentral